This 425-nucleotide ribosomal RNA is filed under the name uncultured bacterium. RNAcentral describes it as "partial 16S ribosomal RNA". It matches the Rfam family "Bacterial small subunit ribosomal RNA", at positions 354 to 796 of the family's 1533-position model. The record is from RNAcentral.
GUGAGGAAUAUUGCGCAAUGGGCGAAAGCCUGACGCAGCCAUGCCGCGUGAAUGAUGAAGGUCUUAGGAUUGUAAAAUUCUUUCACCGGGGACGAUAAUGACGGUACCCGGAGAAGAAGCCCCGGCUAACUUCGUGCCAGCAGCCGCGGUAAUACGAAGGGGGCUAGCGUUGCUCGGAAUUACUGGGCGUAAAGGGAGCGUAGGCGGAUAGUUUAGUCAGAGGUGAAAGCCCAGGGCUCAACCUUGGAAUUGCCUUUGAUACUGGCUCUCUUGAGUAUGGAAGAGGUAUGUGGAACUCCGAGUGUAGAGGUGAAAUUCGUAGAUAUUCGGAAGAACACCUGUGGCGAAGGCGACAUACUGGUCCAUUACUGACGCUGAGGCUCGAAAGCGUGGGGAGCAAACAGGAUUAGAAACCCCUGUAGUCC